Molecule: long non-coding RNA, 378 nt
Organism: Clupea harengus (Atlantic herring)
Lineage: Eukaryota; Metazoa; Chordata; Actinopteri; Clupeiformes; Clupeidae
Source: Ensembl
CCCCCCCCCUCUCUCUUCUCUUGAGGUCAGUGACAUAGUGACUGUGUGUUUCAAUUUAAAAGUUUUUUUUUUUUUUUUUCUUCCCUAUUUUACAGCUUGGUCAGUCUUUGGUUUGGUUUGAGAAUGUGUCCGAUCAUAAUGCAGUCACGGACCAAAAAGACGAGAUGGAAAUGUAACAAAUGACAUUGCAUUAUCAAUGUUCAGGUAUCAGAGGACAAACUGGACAUCAAAUGACAUUACAUUAUCAAUGUUCAGGUAUCAGAGGACAAACUGAACAUCAAAUGACAUUACAUUAUCAAUGUUCAGGUAUCAGAGGACAAACUGAACAUCAAAUGACAUUACAUUAUCAAUGUUCAGGUAUCAGAGGACAAACUGGAA